GGGUGGGGGGGGGGGGGGGGGACCUGUCCUUCAGCCUGCCCGCUUUCUAAGUGAUUAGUGAUCGUGCGUGCUAGUUCUCGUAACUGUACUUGUAUCGGUAUGUUAUGCCUUCAAUGCACAAUGUAGGUUUAAUAAAACAAGUCAUAUGUCAUGAUUAGAUGAUUUUUGAAACAAAACUUAAAACUCAGGUGACUCAAUGCAUGUACUAGCCGGCAUAUAACAUGAUGGCGUGCUUGUCAUGCAGGGAUAGCAUGCAGGAGCAGAAACCGGAAGAACGGACUGAAACUGGAAGACAGAAUGUACUUAUUUUCUUCAUAAUUUUGAUAUCUCAGAUUUUUCCUAUCAAAUUUCAUACCAUAACUUUCAACAUUCAACGAUUUCACUUUACCAAUAUAUUAUGAUUUAGUGCCUUAGCUUGCUGCCGCUUGCUAACAUCUUGUCUUUCUGCCUCAUAUGAUCUUGAAUUGGUGCUUCAUUCUUUGUAUUAUUUUGUGUCACACCCAAACUUCUCUUUUAGGAGACAUCCCAGUUGGAACCAGAACUAAAUGCAGAUGAACAGGAGGAAGGAGAUAGAAAGAGGUUCGUACCUUGCUUUGGAGAUAUAGUUAUUAAGCUGCUCUCAUUUUGUUUAUCACACACUCACCCUAGUGACCCUCCUGUGCUUCUCAGGAUAUUAGCACUAUAUAAGCAAAAAAGAGAUGAGGAAGGAAGAGCAAGAGGGAGAAUACGAAAUCAAAUACAGGAGGACCAGGUACUGUAAUUUUUUUCAUACUCUUAAUGAAGUAAAAAAAGCAAAAUACUACAAAGGAAGAACAAAAUGUGCUUACUUACACUACAUUUUAAGUAUAUCCGAUGGCCAUUUUCUUGUCAACUGAAUGUUUCUCAUUGUUUCUAUAGAGGGAGAGGAUUCGAGCUGCUAAAGAUCUUAUGGAAGCAAAGCGAACUCUUGAGGAAAAUCAAAGAAAGCGGUUUGUUUCAUAUGCAUGUCACAUUUGCUAUUUGCAGAUCCGAAUUGCUUAUUGGAGAAGUGAUAUUUUUGUUUACUGCAGCAUGAUGGAAAGUCGGAUAGCAGAUCAAGAGGAGGAGAAAAGAGCAAGGGAGAGAAUACGACAACGUAUAGCAGAUGAUAGGGUCCGUUGCUUUUAAAUCCUUUAUUCGAACAUUUUAUUAUAUUGGACUUCCUCAAUGAAAUGUUGUCACCAUAUGCUUUCACAACUAGAUGAAAUAUCGUUGCUUUUCUUUUUGCACUGCAUGGAUUUAACUAAAUCAAACAGUUCCUAUCGAUUAUGAUCAAACUUACGUUAAAAUAAUAAAAUAUAUUCAAGGGCGCUUGCAAUCACAGAAGUGACAUCAUUUUCUUACACUUUAGCAACUAUGUCUUUUGGCAUUUUCCUCCAAAAUUUUCCAGUUAUAUACCUCCAAUGCCUAAAUCUGUCCUUUUAUGCAGGCAGAGAGGAGGAGAAGGCUUGGUUUGCCACAGGAAAAUCCUGAGGCUUCAGUUGCGACCAUAACGCCCAUAAAGGUCUAAACGCCUUUCCACCAAACUUUUACAUCUCACAUUCUCACAAUCGAAACCUCCAACCACAUUCCUCACGUACUUUUUAGCUGCAGGUAAAACCUGUUGAACGUGUUGUAACAUCAGAACAACUGAGAGAUUGCCUGCGAACUCUGAAGAAGAAUCACAAGGUAAAAUGAUGCCUUGCAGACACUAGUUUUGAUCCAUGGUGCUCUUAGGCAUUUCAACUGGCGCAGAAGCAUUGGCGAUUCUGAAUAUGGUGCUUUGUAAAUACCACAGUAAAUACAGUGUGCCCUUCUGCAUUGGUUUAGAUUAAAAUAUUCCAUGAUGUUUAGCAUUUGCCUUCUUAGCUUGUAUUUUGAUCUAGUGUAGGAGUAGUUUUCAUUAUAAAUAUGACCAAAUACGGCAUCAGACUACCUGGAAGCCAGGAACCAGUAAAUGUGCUGUGUGUCACUUUACUUGUAGGAUGACAAUGCCAGAGUCACAAGAGCUUACCAAAUACUGUUGAAGAUUAUUGCCAACAUAGUGAAGAACCCAGCAGAGGAAAGGUUCAGGAGGAUUCGUCUCAGCAACCCCAUUUUCAAGGUAAAUGUGAAACAUGCCAGCUCUCAUAUUUCAAAAUGCUGCAAUCCCCUGCAAGACCUUCAGUUCACAUACCAUGCUCUCUGCAACAGGACCGGGUGGGUAACCUGCAAGGAGGUAUAGAAUUCCUGGAGCUGUGCGGGUUCCAGAGGCUCAGCGCCAGCGGCUACCUGGUGAUGCCGAGGGACAAGAUCGACGUGGCGCUCCUCAACGCCGCCGGAGUCGAGAUCGCGUCGGUCAUGGAGAACCCCUACUUCGGGCUGCUCUCCAAGUGAACGGAACGGCCAUUUGUCGCUGCCUCAUCACUUGGAGCGGCUCGUCUAGUCGUCCGGAAUCAUGGUACUGAAACGGGGUGUAUUCAUCACCGAACGGACUUCGCCGUAACGUAUCGGUCCGUCACGGUUGACAGAAUCUGUCCCUGUUGUCAGUGCCGUUGUACAGAGUCAGUCACCCCGUCCAAAACAGAAACAGAGCAAAAUGUCCACGAAGUGAAAUAAACAAUCUCACCCGGAGGAAAUCAAACGCACCGUGUACAAAUGCAAUGGCGUAGGAGAUGUUGCAUUGUAUGUUUUUUUUUUAAAAAAAACUCGUGUUCCUCACCGUUGCCGUUGUGUGUUUUUUUUAAAAAAACACCGUUACUGUACAUGGUUAGCCAUGGUGUACAAGCUGUUGAAACUGGGUNNNNNNNNNNNNNNNNNNNNNNNNNNNNNNNNNNNNNNNNNNNNNNNNNNNNNNNNNNNNNNNNNNNNNNNNNNNNNNNNNNNNNNNNNNNNNNNNNNNNNNNNNNNNNNNNNNNNNNNNNNNNNNNNNNNNNNNNNNNNNNNNNNNNNNNNNNNNNNNNNNNNNNNNNNNNNNNNNNNNNNNNNNNNNNNNNNNNNNNNNNNNNNNNNNNNNNNNNNNNNNNNNNNNNNNNNNNNNNNNNNNNNNNNNNNNNNNNNNNNNNNNNNNNNNNNNNNNNNNNNNNNNNNNNNNNNNNNNNNNNNNNNNNNNNNNNNNNNNNNNNNNNNNNNNNNNNNNNNNNNNNNNNNNNNNNNNNNNNNNNNNNNNNNNNNNNNNNNNNNNNNNNNNNNNNNNNNNNNNNNNNNNNNNNNNNNNNNNNNNNNNNNNNNNNNNNNNNNNNNNNNNNNNNNNNNNNNNNNNNNNNNNNNNNNNNNNNNNNNNNNNNNNNNNNNNNNNNNNNNNNNNNNNNNNNNNNNNNNNNNNNNNNNNNNNNNNNNNNNNNNNNNNNNNNNNNNNNNNNNNNNNNNNNNNNNNNNNNNNNNNNNNNNNNNNNNNNNNNNNNNNNNNNNNNNNNNNNNNNNNNNNNNNNNNNNNNNNNNNNNNNNNNNNNNNNNNNNNNNNNNNNNNNNNNNNNNNNNNNNNNNNNNNNNNNNNNNNNNNNNNNNNNNNNNNNNNNNNNNNNNNNNNNNNNNUUUGAAGUAGUUUUUCUCUGACAAUGAAUUAAGAGAUAAUGAUUAAACCAAUAAUGCCAAAUUCUGCGAUUUCUUGUUAAAUUGAUCCGUGAUAGGUUCUUUCAUGUUCUAUUUUCAAUAUUCAUUUUGUGUAGGUUCUAACAUAUUCGUGACUGGACAUUAGAAUAUGGAUACCCACUACAUCCUCCAACCUCGAACCAUGGAUGAAUGGGUCACCUCCCUAGACCCACAAAAGGUAGAUGAAUUUUGCAUACAUCUUGCUGCAGGGCAUCGGAGUUUAACCAUUUUCAAUCAUCGGGUAGCUGCUCACCGAAGAUGGGGAGGCUGCUAUGAUGCGGUAGUGGUCGUCGACAUUGUAGCAAAUCCGGGUGACGAGCGUCGUAGAAGGGGUAGAAGAUCCGGUACGGUAGUUGUGGUCGGGGGGGUAGCAGAGUUGAAGGAGUAGUAGAUCAGGUGCGAUCGGUUGUUGUCGUCGGGGGAGCAGAUCCGGUGCGGGGGUGGGGGGGGGGGAUGACCCGUGCUGCCUGCCGGCACAUGGCAUGCUUUGUGCAAUGUACUUUGGAGCUUCAAUUCUAGCGGAUGGGGAGGUGCCGCCUCCUGAACUGAGAUGCGCAUGUGGACCAGGCAUGGGGCAUGAAUCCUUCGGAAUGCCAAGAUGAUGGAUAAUCUGCUUGCUCUGCUGGGUUCUAAUAAUCUGGCAAUUAGUAGUAAUGUUCCAUGGAUGAACUCUCAGAAAUAAUGCACGUUCGAUGAACGCAAAAUCCUGCACUUUCCAUGGCAUCGACCAGUGUCGUGAAGGCCUCUGCAUUGUGCAAUUGUGUUCAAGGUACAUCGAUCUCGAUCGACCUAACGUACACGACACAGCAGCGGUACGAGCUUCUUCACAGACGCGGAUGUCUCCUUUGCUGUCCUUGGAGACGAACGACGGGCUCUCAUAAUUUCCACCGUGUUACGAGUUCGAUCGCCGUGGCAUGUAACGGACGCAUGUGUAGUACUGCUGCUGCUGCUGCUGCUCAAAGGCAAGGGAUCUGUAAGCCUCCGGCCCUCCGCAACUCGCGCAUGUACCGGGAUGUACGCGUCCAGUGUCUUGUUCGGGCUGUUUGGAGCCAUGACCGAUGCCCGCACACCGACGUCACGGCUGUUUCGUAGUACAGCGGCAGCGGCAGCGAGGACAGAGCGAGAGAGCAUCGAUCGAUCUGGCACGAGGAGAACGCUAUCGCUUCUCGGCUUCUCCGCCUCGAUGCACGCAAUAGUUUGUUCCUGGCAUGGCAUGGGCGCAGCGACGGCAGCGCGGCGUUGGCAGCAGGCUACUAGAGUUUUGUAGGCUGCAUCGCAGCAGGGCUUAGGCUCCGACAAAGGCAGGCAGGGAUGGGACUGGGGCGGAGGAGGGGAGCAGCAGCAACGGGCAGCUGGAACAGCGACGCAGACGCAGGAGGAUUGAUUGGAUGAGAUGGGCGCGGCGGUCUCGCCGGCACAUGGAAUCCGAUGCCGCCGUGCGUGCGCUCCCGCCCCGCGUUCCUCACUUCUUCCGGGACGCGACCCCGCCUCCAUGCGGAGAAGAAUAGAAGAUGCAGCGUGCGCGCAAGCAAAAUCUCGUCAUCCUGGCGGACGCCGAGGAUCCGGGGUCCGGCCGGAGCAGUGAAUGUGCGGGUGCGCGUACGCGAACCGGCCGGACGGCCCGGACCCGUGCGUCGGCUGCUCCGCUGCGUUCUGUUCGUGGCUUCAUGCGGAGCAUCUGAUUACUGCGGCUCAACCACCGGACUGCGGCGGCUGCGUUCCAUGUUCCUGAUGCAUGCUCGAAGCUCGAUCGAACCGGCUGCUCGACCGCUUUCUCUCAGGGUGUUUGGAUACACUCUGCUACACUUUAGCACAUGUCACAUCAAAUGCUUGAUAUUAAUUAGAAGUAUUAAAUAUGAUUUAAUUAUAAAACUAAUUGUACAGAUGGAGUCUAAUUCGCGAGACGAAUCUAUUAAGCCUAAUUAGUCCAUGAUUUGACAAAUCUAUUAAACCUUAGUAGAUUCGUCUCGCGAAUUAGACUUCAUCUGUACAAUUAGUUUUGUAAUUAGCUAUGUUUAGUUCCUUCUAAUUAGCAUCCAAACAUCUGAUAUGACCCAACUAAAGUUUAGCAACUCGUAACCAAACAUCCAGGAAAAGCAACAAGAAACCAAUGGAUGGACUCGUGUGGGGCCUCGUGGGCCGUCUGGUCUCGUCGGUGACCCGUCGUCCAUCGCUCAGCUCAGCCCUCCGCCAGUUUGGGAGCUUCUGGCUGUUACACGUUACAGUGUUACCACUCGAGAGGGAAAAUGGGAGAAGCACUGACAAGGCCCCAAACUGACAAACAAUGCCAGGCUUACAACUCCUCUCUAGAGCACUACGCAUCGUGCCAUGCACGGGGCACAGUCACGCAGCACGGCCAUUCGGCCAGGUUGGUCUCGGCCAAUCCAAGGAACGUGGACGCAGAAUUCCAAGAAAAAGCGUCAGGCAAGCUUUAUCGACGAGGCUACUCUACUAACCUAGGAUGGGAGUGUUGGACUAGCUAGAUAGGCCAGUAGGUUUGGUCCAUAACAGAGUGUCACUACCAGGUAGGUGCACGCUUUUGACCCAAUGGCCAUCCUGAACAGUGGUUUUUGUCCAUAACAAUGUAAGGUCCUUGUUUAGUUGCCAAAAUUGGAAGUGCUAAAAUUACUGUGCCGGCACUGUAGCACACUGUAGCGUUUCGUUUGUAUUUGUGAAUUAUUAUCCAAACAUUGACUAAUUAGGCUCAAAAGAUUCGUCUCGCAAAGUACAAUAAAACUGUGCAAUUAGUUUUUAAUUUCGUCUACAGUUAGUACUCCAUGCAUGUACCGCAAGUUUGAUGUGAUGAGGAAUCUUCUUUUUGCAUAGUGCCAAAGUUAGGAGUUGGGGGUGAACAAGGGCUAACAUGAUGAUGUACGGCCCCGGUCAAUGGAUCAUUUUAUUUUACCAUACCGGGCAGUGCUCGGACAAUGAAAUAGUAAUAGGUGGAGGGUUUUUUUGCAAAUGUUAUGCAAAAAGGUUGUGUUGUGUUAUGGCAUUCCCAUGCUUUCCUUUCGAGGCUCACUGCAGUGCCAACUCCAAAUAGUUUUUGCUAAAUCGAGGUUUCGUCGGGGAGCCACUAAAAAAGUCUGGUGAUUCGAGCCAUGAAAACUCCUUCGUUUCAAACAGCAUUUCCCAGCUGAUAAUUUCCAUUCUCAAGAAGCCAGGAAGGCGUCACUGGUUAUGCUCUACGUGCGUUUGUCGCGGAUGUGAGGCUGGAUGUUUAGCGAAAUUUGAUGCUAAUAUACAUGUCCUUUCGCACUAAGCAUCUUUGAUCCUGAAAUGUUGAGUCAGAUGCCCCCCGACCACCCACAAAUCUAUGUCUAUGUCGUCCCUAAUUCCCAGUUCCGAACUCAAUGUUGACAUCUUUUUUUUUUUGAAAAGUAACCUUGCAUGGAUCUUCAAAGUCCAAACCUAGCAGGUUCGAUUGGACCAUUGCUUCUUGAUUCAGAGGACGUUUGGGUACCGGGAGCUAAACUUUAGUCCUGUCAUAUCGGAUGUUCGGAUGCUAAUUAGAAAAAUUAAAUACGAUCUAAUUACAAAAUUAAUAGCAGAACCCCUAGGCUAAACUAUUAAACCUAAUUAAUCCAUCAUUAGCGAAUGAUUACUGUAGCACCACAUUGUUAAAUCAUGAACUAAUUAGACUUAAUAGAUUCAUCUCGUGAUUUAACCUAGAGGUUGUGCAAUUAAUUUUAUAAUUAGUUUAUAUUUAAUACUUCUAAUUAACGUCCAAACUAUCGGACAGGUUUAGUCCUGGUCUCCUAAGCACCCCUCACGCGAGUUCGAGGCUAGCAGCUCAGAAUCUCAGAUCCUGAAAAGCACCACUAACCACACCCCCUUUCAGAUUCAUCAUCAGUCACUUCCAACCAGCUUCCAGGAGUGGCACUGUGGCACUGAGAAAGCCCUCCCAAACCCGUCAAAGUUCGCGGCACAUCUCUCCCACGUUCUCCUCCUCGGCCCCCAAAACCCCCCAUCCCCGCGCGCGCGUGGCGCGCAGCUCGCCCCCGCACGCCAAGAAUCUCGGGUGCCGGCACCGCCGCCGUCACCCCGCCGAGGCUCCCAAGCUUUCUUCAUUUCCUGUCCGCGCCCCGGCACCCCGCGCAAGCCUCCAAAUCCGCGAGCGCCAUGCGGGCCGCAGACCCGGCCGAAACCCGCCACCGCUCCUGCCUUCUUUUCCACACUCCCCUCGUCACGCGCUCUGCUGUCGCUGUCCGUCGGCGUCCGGGAUGACAACAAAACAACGAACAGAUCCAGGGAAUCGUAUACACUAAAAAAAAUUUGGAGUAAUGCUAUCAUAGAGCAUCAGCAGAUUCCGGCCACGCUCGCGGGCGAUCGCGCUUUGACCCGUAAACGGCGCGAGGCGUCCAAAUCAGCCUGCCGGAGAAGAAUAAUGGUUAAUGAGCCUGUGACGCUCGAGGUAGCUUAACCACCGGAUGAUCCGUCGGCCGGCUCGGCCUACACGACACCGCCGAGGUCGCUCUCGCCGUGCCCAAAUCGCACCCGGUUGACGAACCGGCCGUUGCGGGCGUUUGGUUUGGUAUACUUUCUUAAACAGUGUGAGGCAGGCAGGCAGGCAGAGGCAGCAGCAAUGGCGGCGAACGAUGGCACCACCUCCUCCCCACCUGAACAUUCCUCCACUCGCCCAACCUCGUACCCGGCCGAACCGAGGCCCGGAGCGCCGGAGCGGUUGGCGCUUGCUGGGGCCUGCCGAGGAGAGGAGGGGAGGUGAACGGUGAACCGCUCGUCCAACCGGCACCCACCAGGCCACCACCACCACCCCGCCGCGGGUACGAGUACGAGGCGAGACGCCGAGGAGGGAACACGGGACCGAGCCAAGACGGGGGCUGCACCGCCGGGUUCGGCUUCCGCUCCAACCUAUCGACAAGUGCCGGCGACCAACCCGUUUUUUCCCCUUUCCAUCUUGUGUGCCCCGUUGGCCAUUGCCCACUGGGGACGGGAAAAAGAAAGGCCGUUCCGUUUAUCGUUGGGUCGGCAUCAACGAACGAACCGACGGCGAGGUUAGCGCUCAUCCGGUUCACCCCCAUCAUCAUACCAAAAAGCUCACAGAGUGCGCUCGUGUCUGGCUAGCUGCUUCUGCGUGUUGCGUGUAGGACUGGCUGCCUGGCUUUUUUAUCGCGCAGGUGACGACGGCCCGGCGGCGGAUAGAGUAGAGAAGGUAUUUCCAAAGUUGACAUACGUGUACGUGUCGUGCGUAUCUCUCCAUCGGUCGGGGUCAUGAACGUAUGAAACCACCCUCAUCUUAUCUCGAUCUCAUCGAUCUCAUGGAUUAAGGUGUUUGGAUCUUGAGCUAAAGCUAACGUUUAGUAAUUGUCACAUCAAAUCUUCGGAUGCUAAUUAGAAGGACUAAAUUAUAAAACUAAUUAUACGGAUAGAGGCUAAUUCACGAGACAAAUGUAUUAAGCCUAAUUAAUUCAUAAUUAGCACAUAUUUACUCUAGCAUCACAUUGUCAUGGACUAAUUAGGUUUAAUAGAUUCGUCUCGCGAAUUAACCUUGUGCAAUUAGUUUUAUAAUCAAUCUAUAUCUAAUACAAUAUCUAAACGUUCGAUGUGACAGGACUAGCUUUAGUCCGUAGAACCGUGGCCUAACUUUAUUUUCUCUCGUAGUGACUUCACGCGCUCCAAUCAGGGCUUGACAUGUUCAACGUCUGACACCUCAAACUGGAGAAAAACUGGAGCUCUGAAAUGUUGACUGUUUUGUUUUUUUUAAAAAAGGCAUGUUGACGGGCAGGCGCUCCUCCAUGGAGGGAGAGCUGAGCUCGAAGUCGCAGUAAAUGGACUCAUGCAGUGGAAAUGCUGAGUGGGGAGCAGUAAUAAAAUUUAAAACGCCACGCGCAGGGCAUCUCGAGUUCUCGACCUCGGCUGGACUCUCCUUGAGAUCUUCAAACAGUGCGUGCUUGCUAGCUGGACUGCAGCAGGGGGAGUAAUUGCGGUGGUACUAAUCCCGGGUCAAAAACCAAUCUUAUUAACCGGCCACGGUAGGGAGAGUGGCAGCUCACUUCCACUGAUUGGUUAGUUUGGUUGGUUCAUGAAAGGACCAAGAACUUGCUUGAUCUUGAUCUUGAUCCAGCAUGGUUUCUGGAUUUGGGAAAGCAGAGAAAAAUGUGCAGCAAGGGAAGGGAAUGCUGAUCUUUAAGAGCAAGUCGCAAUUUUGCAGCAGAUGACACUUUAAUUGAAGUCGGACAUGUUCUAAUCUUUUCACAAUAGCAGCAGCACAAGAACGGGGGAAGAGUUGAUGGAGAGAUGGAGAUCUAUCUAUGUCUGGAUCCUAUUUCAGUUGCGGGCGCACCGGAUUGGCCGAUCCGCGGCGAGCGCAUUUCGCCGGACGAGGUGUCGGCACCGCCCGCCCGGCCGCCGGCCGAGCGGAGAGAGGGGGGGGGGUGUCAGAAGAUGUCGAGGACGUCGACGAUGGCGGCGUUGCAGAGCGGGCAGCGGCCGCGGCCGGCGAGGAGCUCGCGGGCGCAGGCGCGGCAGAAGGUGUGGCCGCAGGGGAUGAAGGCCGCGCCCUUGGCCCGUGCCAUGCACACGCAGCAGCAGCCGGCGACCACGCCCCUGCCCGCGCCGGCCCCCGGCUCCGUGUCGUCUUCCACCAGCUCCAGCGCCUCCGCUCCCGCCACGUCCUCCUCCUCGCGCGGGGCCGCGGCGCCGGCACCGGCGCUCCACUGCCUGUCGGUCUGCUCCAGGAGCGCCAUCAGGGAGACCCUCUCCCCCUGCUCCUCCUCCUCCGCCGCCUCCGCCACCGCGGGCGGCUGCGGAGGCAGAGGCGGAGGCGGAGCGGGAGAAGGGGCGGGGGAGGCGGAGGCGGGCGCGACCGCCGGCGUGGAGGCUGCCGUGGUCGGGGCGGGCAGCGACACCGCGCGGCGGACGAGGAAGGGGUCGGCAGCGCCGGGGCCGUCCCCCGACGCGGCGGCGGGAGGGGGCUGGUCGUCCCGGAUGAUGUCGAGGAGGGUGCGCGCCGCUACAGCAGCCGCCGCCGCGGCGGUGGACGCCGACGGCGAGGCCGACGGCAGCGAGACCUGCCUCUCGGCGGCCAUGGCGGAUGCGAGCGUGACCGCGGCGCGCCGCCCCGCCGCGAGGUCGUCCUCGUCGCGGAGCUUGAGAAGGUCGCGGAGGUUGCACGACCCCGCCGCCGCCCCGACCGCCUGCGGCGGCCCCACCGCGGCCAGCUGGUCCGCCAGCGUGACGCUGCGUCGCAUCAACCUCCCCGCCUCCAUCCCGUCGCGCGGCCAAUCAGCUGACUCGGCGAGCCGGGGAGAAGACAAGGGGGAGCAGGGGAACCGAAGCGAAGCGAAGCGAAGCGCCUGCUAUUCCGAGCGGCAGGCAGGCAGGGCAGGGGAGAGGGGUAGCAGCGGCACGCUUGGACUAAAUAAGUGAGGGCGUGGCGCGGCCUGGGGGGGCGUGCGGGGGGGUUUGGGCUUGGAUCUCGCGUGCGGAGGGGCGGGAGGCCGGAGGGCGCCGCGUGAUGGGAUUCACUCGCUACCGAUUUGGGGGCGGAAAUGGCUGGUUUUUGCGGGGUUUUCUGCCUGCGUGCCAGCGCCCGGCCGAGGAGUUUGCUUCUGCUGCGGCGCCGGCUCGGGGCGGCCUCGGGCUUUUGCUUUCUGGCUCUGGGUGGUGGGUGGGUUCGCGGAUCCGCGGCUUGGAAGGUUGCAGGCAGCCUUGCAGCAGCGGCGGCGCUCGUGCUCGCGGAGUGGGAGAGGGCUCGAGGAGGGAGUAAUAAAGGGUGGAGGGGGCAUGGGAGUCGGGAGGGGGGCCUGGUGGUGGGUCAGCUGAGCGGGCAUGCGGGGGGAGCGUGGAUCCAUCUGCCAAGGUGAAACUGGAUGCCGUUUGUCGGGGAGGGGGAGCCCGGGCCGUGCCGUGGUGUGCCCGGGGGCGCGGCGGAGUGCGGAGGCGUCCGAGCGCCGGGUGGUGCACGGUGGGUGCUUUGCUGGAUGCCGACUGAAUUGCUGCUGAUGGCAAAGUCUGCGGGGUCUGGGCCGGUUGACGAUGGCAACGGAGGAGGCGACAUCUGCGGCCGCGUUGCGUUGGUUGGGCCGGUAAUCCUGGGCCGCGUGCCAGCUCUGUUUCACUUCCAUCACUGGCAACACCAGCAACAGCUGCUGCUGAACCUUCCAAACGCUGCACGCUCUCCGUGAAGCGAAGGCGAUUGCACCGCGCAGCAUGAGAGGUCGCAUGCUCCAUCCUUCUCAGGGGAGACAGAGGGAGACGCACGCAAAAAGGAGAGGUAUCCAGCGACAUUGUCGCAUCGGCGAGAAACCAAAGUUCCGAGUCGCCAUCGAUCGCUUCCUCCAAGACGUUGGCGCCCUCCUCGUCCUCGGCGGGCUCGCUGGCCUCGCUGCCACCGCGGGGCACGCUUGCCACAAGUUUAGUUUACGCAGCGUAGCGUCGCACUUGUCAACACAUAAACAGUGGUGCUCUCGCCGUGCAGGAGAACAACACGGGAAAGACUAGCGCCUGUUGAGUGGAAGUUCCAAUUCGGUACGCUGCGUGUCGUUCUCUGAAAGACUUGCGUGCCGGCAGAAGAGGCCCAGAAUGGACCUGUGCCUCAACACUUUCUGUAGUCGGAAUGUUGCAUGGAGCACACCCAAAACUCAGCUACUCUGACCAACCAGACAUGCUGGAGAAAUUUGCAUUGAGCGUGUUCCACAAAAGAAAGAAAUGUCGCCUUCAGUCCAUCAAGAGGUUCAACUUUUUCGACGAGACAGCUGGAGCAGACAAUUGACCGUUGAACAUAUCUUUCUAAGCGACACCAGCGGAAAGCUUCUAUAACCACACAUCAAUGCCGAAACCAGAAUAAUCUCUGUGGCGUCGCAGAUUAGUCUUCCACAAAAAAACUUUUAAAGCAAAUAACAAUGAGCCUGUAACUGCAACUUCAAGCGCAUUGCAGACAAUAUAGCUUGCACAAUGCUAGAGUUUCAGGCAAAAGCUCAACGAAUCAAGGAAUAUGUCCUAAAUUUUCCACAACGAAUCAUGCAACAGUACCAUCCGUACAAUCUCUUACAAGGCCUGUAUAGUCAAUUGUGUCCCUUUCCAUUCAUAGUUUGAUCCAAGCAAAAGGCAACAGCAAUGGGAUAUGAAUCAGCCUGACCAGAUCGACCGUAACAACUCUAACUUUGUACAAGUUGCAGUCAGUUUGAACCCCCUACAAAAAUGGACUUGAUCAAGAGCCUAAACAUGUACACUGAGUGAAUCUUCCAACCAAAGAAUAUGCUAGCUAAUCUCAUUCAUCUGCAUGUUUUGUGACUGUUAUUUUGAUGAGUACGUCGGAUCUUUGUGCUAGCCAUGUCUUAGCCUUCCACCUUCUCAUAGAAAAGAAUGUAUGCCUCGCGCUUGAGAACUUCUUCUAGAGUGGCUUCUCUGAUGUUACCGUCGUCUGCACAAAACCAUGAGGAAGAGCAGCUGCUCUCCUGUUGCUGAUUUUCAAGCCUUCUUGCUCUCACGUAAGCAACAUAGUGUCCUGCAUUCAUUGACGGUCCACCAAUGUGCUCUACCACACCAGCUAGACGAUAGAAAGAUUUGUCUUUGUCCACGGAACUGAAUAUUAGAGAAAAAAAAGUAGGUAAACCAAAUGCAUGGCUAUAAAUGAUUGUAUUAACUUAUCAUCGACAAUGGUAUGCCAUUCUUGAUCAGAAAUCCUAAAAAGCGAAUAUUGUUCACAAGCAAACCCUACAAAUAAAAACCCAUACAACAAAAAUAAUCAACAAAUAAAGCUUCACAAAUAUUAAGAAGGCCAUUACAUAAUAUUAGGUUUAUAUGUAUCCAUCAAUCUUAGAAAUAUCAGCACAAGAAUUAUACCAAACACAAAGCAUUCAACAGAUAAAAAGGCUACAGGGUUAAGGAUUUAAAAGGUACCCACAAACACAGAACAAACGAGCUCUAAGAUAUGAUCAUUCUAAUUUUUUUUAACUUAUAUGUAUAUUUAUUUUAAUAUCCAAGGUAAAGUGAUACGCUGCCAAUAUGAAUGGGCUUUGUAGCAGAUAACCCCCACUCAAUUUGUAUUCGAAUAUGACCGGUUCUAUAAGACAAGCAUUCUACUGCAAUUAACUGACUAAAGCAGUUUUUGAUCUAAGACAAGAUUAUGACAGGCAGAUAGCACAGGAUUCUGGUCAAAAUAAGACUGGAGAAAAAAGACACUUAAAUUAAUUUAUUUUUCUCAAGCUGGAACUGCAAUUAGUUGGAAACAUAGUAGGACCAUUUGCAUUGACAUUUAAUUCCCUUUCUUCAUAAGCACAAACGAAACAUAGCAUAGCUUUUGAAAAUUUCUCGAGGGGAAGCUGCACAGGCACUGAUAAAUACUCCUUUAUGAACAUAUUAGAGGUGGCAGUUAUGCAAUUCCCUUCACAGAAUUCAAAAGAGGGAAGCUAUCCAAGUUUUAGGAAACGAGCAUGCUCUAUAUGUCCUUCAUUUUCAUGAAGAAUAUGCUUGUUUUUAAGCUCUAGCUGUUGAAUUGAAAAGUCAAAAACCACUAUGCACAUAGUAUAUGGAUUACGGAGACAUGUCCACAUGAUCACAAAUGAGAACACCACUAGAACAUGGAGUCACUAAAUAACUCCUUGACCUAUAAUGACAUGUGUUCUAAAUGCUAUUUUAGAGAAGAUAUUCUUCAAGCUAGAAGCAAUAAGUUAGGCCAAAAAAGAAAUCCCUUAUGCAAUCAGACAUGUGAUAAAACUGUGUAGAAGUAUUAACAUUACUAUAAAGAAUUAUCAGUACCUGGGGUCCAUGAAUCUCCCUACAUCAAGAUACUCCUUAUAGCUCACAUGUGUUUCAAUUUUAUGAUGGUCAUAGCCAUCCUUGAUGUACCUCUUAAUAUGAAGAGUUAAUACAGGUGGCAGCUUGGUAAUACGAGGUGUUUCAGUAGAACAUCCGCUCCUCUCUUUCUGUUCAUUUUGGUUGUCUCCUAACUGGCUUGUACUAAGAUCCAGCUCUACUUGCUUCCUCCUGUCCUGAUUUGGCGUGCUAAGAUUUUCACUAUGAUGAGUGCCCAACAGAUUGGUCUGUUUCUCAUCUGGAAGGCAACUACUUGCAGCUUCUUGAAUACCUUCAUGGCAUUCAAUUUCUUUAUCGCCAUAACUCAUCCCUGAAUUUAUUCCUUCCGCAUUUGCUUCCACUGUUUGUAUAAUUUCACUCUUUGCAUCAGAAUCAUCUGGUUGCCUAUUUGAAGAAGAUUUGCAUUCUACUGACAAACUGUUUGGUUCAAUAGAUUCCUCAGUUUGGUCUGCUAACCUGUCUGACUGUUCAGUCUGAUUCCCAUCAGCUGCUGUGUUAUCAGUGGUACUUGCCACCAUCUUCUCAGCAUUUCCACUUUGAUUGGUACUUGGCUCCUCAAGAACCUUGGGACAAUAAUCACAAUUCCGUUCUACCGUCUGUUCUGUAAAAAACAAUGAUAGACAAUCCUCAAUUGAUGGUAUAGAAUUGCUAACCUCUACCUCCUUAUCAUACACGACAUCUCUGCUCUGAGCAUUUGCUUUGUUUUCUGCAGUGAAUUGUACGAUUGAAGUGUUCUCCUUGGCUUGUACACUAACUACCAGCUGAUUCAUGAUAUCACCAGGAUCAGCAUUGUCAUUUUGAUCUACACAGCUGCCUGAUGCCAUCGGUGCACCAUUUUCACUUAGUGGAGCAACCAGUGGAGGUGGACCCAUAUCUUCUGGACUGUGGGAAUCUGUUGUCAUCUCAAUCAAUUGCUCAACUUUCACAUUAUACAAGUUGUCCGGAACAACACUAACAGACUUUGGUGGUGCUUCAAUGAUCCCUUGUGAAAGCUCCGAACAUGAGACUUUAUCCUCCCGAGUCUGCAAAGGAUCCUGUAUAACAUCCUUGCUUUGCCAGAUACAUUGCACAUCAGAAGAAUCUGCAUAGCCAAGCAUAUAAUACUUAAUUUUACCAGAAAUAGCAACAUCAUGCAACAAGUAAUUGUCAUCCUCUAAGUAUUUUUUAGGAUCUCUACCCUCCACAUUUGAAGCAGCUUUCUUUUGUGAAUACCCACACACGAUUAAGUUAAGCAACCAUUUCCAGUGAAGCUUAUUUUUGGAAAAGCAAGCUAUAUUCUAGUGGCAGUUUUAAAUACUACACUAGAGCAAACAUUGUUGCCACGUUAAUGCUGCUGAACACCCUGCUCAUUUAUCUAUGCACAUCCUGAAGGUUUCUUCUUUCUUCAGUCCAUGUGGGUAAAGGGGUCCCAUUAAACAAUUUUCUCCAUUUAGAAAGUGUAGGAGACCCAAUCCGACUUGUUUUCUUAUUGUGACCAAGACAAUAAAAAUAAUAGUGUGAAAGUGUUCCACAGUUUCCUGCAUUUUGAUUCCUCAACAAUGGUGCAGUCUAGGACACUAGGCCAUCCCCAGAAUCUGCAGUCAGGACUUUUGGAUGGAUGCAGGAGCGCAUAAACUCACCAACUUCCAAAGGCUCAGGUGUUUUCUCCACGGCAACAUCUUUCAACUCUGAACCAAGAAGGUCAGAAUCACCGCUUUUGGCAACUGAUUGGAUCUUUUCCGAUGUACUCUUCUCAUUUGCUGGAAUUAAUUGAGUAGCAGCCUUAUUCGGUUGAGAUUUGAGACUCAAGCUUGUUUGUGGUGCUGCAGCACUUCUGGAUGGAUGCUCCUUUGAUGGCAGUGCCAGUGAGAGGUCACGGAUCUCAUCGUGGGAAGCCUGACUAGAUCCACAAUAUAUGCAGGACCGUGUAUAAGAGAGUUCACCCCUGAAAAUGGAAUCAAUUACUGUAGGAGCACCUCUUUGCCUGUUAGGAGUCUCAAUUUCAUUUUCCUCCCUAUGCAAAGCAUUGCGCAAGGAAUCAAGCAGUUCAUAGCUGUCGUGCAUUUUAUAGGGUUCAAACUUGUCAGCAUGUAAGCGUAUGCUUCUCAAGAGUUUAUCUGGGUUCAGCAUGCCUCCCACAUCAUCUGCCACACUUGUCUCCAGAAAAAGCUCCAUUAGUGCUAGGCCAAGGUGACCGGACGGAGCAUCCGGUCCUAACAUAGUUUCCUGCAGCUUAUCAAGCACAAGGAGGCACUGCACUAUUGCAUUCACGUAGCAUGUGCUGCCGCGAUUCGGUAUCCCUCUGAUAGCAUAGCCUUGCACACUAGAUGAUCCGAACUCAUGGCCAUGCCAUGUGUCUCCAAGAUUCAGUAACCCACUGACAAGACCCGAGUGCACAUCAAUUCCAAACGCAUGACCGCCUGUCUGAAUUUCGCCUGGCAUUUCCUCCUGCUCUGGAUAGACAACCACUUCAGAUCCACACUUGAAGCAGAAUCCAGCUUGUGGAUCGGCGAACAUCGCAGCAACCCAAUGCUGCUCCUGCUUGGCGUGAGCCUGAGCGUGCCCAUAUGGGAUAUAACUCGCCAAUUCCCCGCAGGAUUGCCGGCCGCAGUCCAGGCACACCAAGAUACGGCUAUUCACGGACUCCUCCGAACGCUGGCAAUCCGCGCAAUGCCCUGCGUCAUCGGAUAGCAAUGACGAAUCCAAAAUCUCCCUGUGAGCACUGUCUUUUGGGACGUGAUUGCACCGAUCGUUGUCCUCGGUCACCUCCGGCCACUCCUCCCACCGAUCCUCCAACGCCGUCGUAGCCAGCAACUCCAGCCGCGGAGUUUUGGCAUCCCGCGAGCUCUCGCCCGCCUCCCACCCCCUCGGCCUCGUGUCCCCCAUCACGCCUGGAACAACGGAACCACAAGAAACAUGAGUCGGAUGGAUGAUGAACCCUACGAAUGCGGAUAACCCAAGAAAGCCAAGAAAGGGGGGCAAACUAGGGGAAAAUCCAAGAAGACGGCGAGAAAUCGAACGCCUCGGCGAGGAUCAUGGACCCGUACGGACCAGGGGCGAACCAAGAAAGCCAAAGGGCCGAGAACCAGAGGAGGGGAAAUAAUCAAGGACAACCGAAAUCGCAACCAUUCUGGUAAGGAUCAUGAACCGUGCGGAGUAGGGGAUUAGGCCUGGAUGAGAAAAAGGCGAAGAAAUAGAGAAGAAAAAACCCAUCAGAACAACACGAAAACCGAAACGCUGCCGCGGAUUCAAGAACCAAAAACCCAUCGAGGCACGCAGAACAGAAGAACCGAGACCGCAACCAUUCUGGGUAGGAUCAAGAGCCGUACGGGAUAGGGGUUGGACCAAGAUAGCCGAGACGCGCCGCGAAGAACAAGGGAAGAAAACCCCAACAGCAAAACACCGAAAUCGCACGACGUUCCGGCGAGGAUCAAGAACUGCGCCGCGGAUUCAAGGACCGAAACCAUCGACGCAACAAGAACAAACGGUGGGAAGAGGAAUGCGCGGGGAAAGCUUACCGCGAGACGGCGAUGGGGCCCGGGAUCGAGCGGGCUGCGGCCUGCGGCGAGGCCGCGGGGGUUUUGGUGGAGAGAGGGCGGCAGAGAAGCAGAUGAUUUCGCUCUGGCGUGGCGUUAGUUGAGAUUGUUUGUUUGAUCGGGGGGCUAGUUGAGAUUUGAGAAGCCGUGCGGAGGAUGCGGAAGCCGGGAGGCGGUUGGGUUGGCUCUCCCAGGUGGACCAAGCCGUAUUUGCAACAUGGGCCGAGCGGUGCGGGCCUUUUUAGUCAGAAAAAGAAAAAUCCGUGGAUUAUUAUGAUCAGAAAUUCGGAAUUUCCCUUGUUUUUUUUAGCUUAUCUUAUGUUUGUGCAGGUUAGGGUUAAGGUUGGAGACUUUCCCAAGCUUCUUCGGCGUCAGCUAUGUUGAUGGUGGGCAGGUUCUGGUGGUGGUCCAUGGGCGGGAGGAGCACAACAACGACAGUACUAUCCGCAGGAGGUUUGGCAUCGGCGAAUUUUUCUUUGUUUUCUUAUCAAUGGCAACACUGAAUUCGUGACCUACCACAUGGCUGUUGUUCGAAGGAGACUCGAUGCUUUCACCGGUGGCGUGUUCAUCGGGAAUUUGUCCCUCCAAGGAGGUUUCCCUUGGAGGUUAAGAAUCCACUUGCUCUUGUAUGUGGGCUGGUGUUCUUGGAUUCUCUUUGUGUCAUUGUUGCUUGUUGGCCGGAGCUUACCGGUGAUGCAACUAGCGUCUGUUUUUGAUGAAAGUAGAGUUUGCCCAGGACGUUCAACGGUUGAAAAGCACGAUGUGAUGCUGAUGGGCUUAAAAUUUGAAGACUCUUCUUCGAAUCGGGAAUCGGCCCGAAGAUUCAUUCUAGGUCAUCUUCUUCAUUGCGGGAGAUGGAGGAGGACCAGGUUGCGGCAGCGAAGAUCAGCGACGACGACGGGCACUCGAUGCUCUUGUAAUGGACUUAUGUGUAAUUUUAUCUUCUUUGAGGUACCCGGUCAGGGGCUUGGAUGUAAAAGUGAUGUGUCAAUAAAAAUCCAACCCUUUCUAAAAAAAAGAAAUUCGGAAUUUAAAGGAUGUCCAAACCUUCAAGGUGAGCAUCUCCAGCAGCCCCAAUAUCACUUUUACCGUUAUCGGGGGAGUUGCUUUUGCAGUCUCCCAAUAAUCUCAUCCCAAUCCAACUACUGUAUUGGAAGAGUCACAACUCCUCUUUUAUUUAGGGAGAGUUAGGGUGAAUUAUUGGGAUGUCCCAAUAAUUAUUGGGAAAAGGAAAAGGUAGUCUGCUGGAGCACUAUUUUCUUAUCACUCUCUAAAUAUGGUAGUUGAAUUAUGAAAGGAAGACUACUCUCAUCUCCACGGAUGCCUAGGAACAAAGGUGGGAACAAACAGGUAGCUGACUGUCCAACACUCCAACUAUCGUUCAAGUGGCACCCAACGAGAAGUUUUUGUGAUCAAACAUUAACGCUGAAACAAGAACAAUCACGGGGAGGAAAGAAGAAAGUAUCUGGCACUGCAGACUGCUCUUCGGUAAAAACUAAGUCAAAAUAUGCGCAACUUCAAAGUUUUAUAUAAAUCAUAUUGCAGACAAUGUAGCUUGCCCAACACAUCAAGGAAUAUGUUCUAAAUUCUCCACAACGUAAUGUAAACCAUAUAUCAUAUAACAGUAGCAUCCAACACAACCUUACAAAGCCUGUAUGAUUUGCCAAUCUGACCAAUGCCACGUGUCUUAUUCUAUUCACAGUUUGAUCCUAAAAGGCAAAAAGUAAUUGGAAAAACCGGUUUAGCUGUGUCGAGAAGACCACCAAAAAAACCUCCAAUGUGGUACCAAUUACAGUCAGUUUGAAGCCCUGCGACAAAAAUGAGCUUCAUCGAGAGCUUGUUCUACUAUGUACACCAACUGAAUCCUUGUGACUGCAUUCUGAUUAGUUGUGAGAUCUUAUGCUAGCCAUGUCUUAGCCUUCCACCCUCUCAUAGAAAAGAAUGUAAGCCUCGCGCUUGAGAACUUCUUCUAGAGUCACUUGGCUGAUGUAUCUAUCGUCUGCACAAAACCAUGAGGAUGAGCAGCUGCUCUGCUGUUGCUGAUUUCCAAGCUUUCUUGCUCUCACGUAAGCAACAUAGUGUCCUGUAACCAAGGACUUGCUGCCACGGUGCUCUACAACACCAGCUAGACGAUAGAGGGAAUUACCUUUGUCCACAGAGCUGAGUAUUGGAAAAAACAAAGCAAAGUUAAACCAAAUGUAUGGCUAUAAAUUAUUGCAACUGGUUAUGAAAAUGACAUGCCUCUCUUGGUCAUACAUCCUCAUUAACUGAACACUGUCAACAAGAAACCUCUAACAGAUCUACCAGAUAAAUACCCAUGACCAUGAUCCUUCUCAAGUGAUUAAUCAUAUAACAAUGAAUAAUUCAACAAAUAAAGGCUCUACAAUUAUUAAAAAAAAACUAUGUCAUCUGAAUAUUGGAGAACACAAAGCAAGAUUAAACCAAAUGUGUGGCUAUAAAUUAUUGUAACAUGUUAUGAAAAUGCCAUUCCUUUCUUGGUCAUGACUGAACAUGGUCAACAAGAGACGUCUAUCAGAUAUACACCAUGAUCCUUCUCAAGUGAUUAGUCAUCCAACAAUGAAUAUUUCAACAAAUAAAGGCUCUAAAAUUAUUAAGAACGCCAUUACAAAGUACUAGGUUUAUUUUAGGCAUUUAUCUUUGAAAUAACAACACCAGGAAGUCAGAACUGUAGCUAAUAUCCAACUCUCCAAAAAAAGAAAGGCUGCUAUGUUAGGCAUUUAAAAGGCACCUACAGACACAGACAUAAUGAGCUCUUAGAUAUCAUAAAUCUAAUUUACAGUGAAGUAAGCGAUAUAGUGAUUGGUUUUGUAGCAGAUGACUUGUGUGUUCCCCAUCAUAUUCAAAUGUGAUUGGUUUUGUCAUACAAAUAAACUCAAUUACAACUGGUUCACUGAAGCAUUUUCCAACCAAAGACAGAUUAUGGAAGGUAGGUUCAACAUGGUGCUGGUCAAAAUCAAACUAGAAAAGAACUACAAAUAUACACAGCAGCUCUCCUGUGUAUUGUAAAAAAAAAAAGAAGAAGACUGUAGAAAAGAACAUUUACUUCAGAUGCUGUGUGAGAACAAAUGAAACCUCUACUUCAGUCGCAAACUGGAAUUACAGCUAGUUUAAAAACAUAGAUCUCUGUGUGUGAACAGAUGAAAAAUACACAGAGCUGCACAGGUUCCAACAGAUGCACCUUUUUAGACAUGUUACCAAUGGCAUCUUUACAAUUCCUUCACAUAGUUCCAAGUUCAAAAUAGUGUGUCAUGGAAGUACCAUAUGCAGUGGCCCAUUCCCCUCAUUUAUGAAAGGGCGAUGUAUUUUGAAUCUGAUAAGAUGCUGGUAACUUAUGAACCCUUGUUGUAUGGCCUUUUUUUCUUCUCAACCUUUCAAUACCGCUGCAUAUUUUACUACACAUAAAACUUCUUCCUUUCUCUCUAUGCACAAAUUAUUACUUUGCCUAUUCAUUUUACUAUUAUUUUGUUACAGCUGUUUAGUGAAUAUAAUAAAUUACUUACAAGGACCUACAUUCUUUUAUCACCCAUUACCGCGCUGCUGAAUACAAAUGUUUCCAAGGCAAUUAGACCAGUUGUUCAAUUUUCUUUAUUCUAAAUCAGAUUAAUCCGCACAGAUAAAGAUAAGUAGAUUUGUCCUAAAUGACCUCUAUGCAAAUGAGGGAAAUUAUCCAAUUUUGACCUCUAUGCAAAUAAGGGAAAUUAUCCAAUUUUCCAGGAACUUACCAUACUCUACGCCAUUCAUUUUUUGCGCAAUAUGAUAGCAUGCUUGUUUUAAGACUCUAGUAGUUUAUUGCAAAAUCUAAUGUGUACAUAGUAUAUGGUUACAAGUCCACACAAUCACAAAUGAGAACGCCAAAAUAUGGAUAAACAACUAAAUGGCCAGCACUGACAUGUGCUCUUAAGCCUUUGUUUAGAGAAUUCUGUGUAUUGUUGAAGCUAAUAGAAACAAAAUGGAGAGAAAAGGCUAAUGCAUUUAGAAACUUAUUAGAGCUUAGAACUGCACAGAUGUACAAGAUAUUAUUGUGAAGAACUAUCAGUACCUUGGGUCCAUGAAUCGCCCUACAUCAAGAUACUCCUUAAAUCUCACAUGCUCACUCAUUUUAAGCCUGACUUCGUAACAGGUGAAAGCUCUCUUAAGCUGAAGAGUUAAUACAGGCGGCAGUUUCUUAAAAAGAUUUGUUUGAAUACCAUCUCCAACAUUAUCUUCCUGCUCAUUUUUUUUGUCUUUCAAUUGGUAUGAACUAUGAUCCAUCGCUAAUUGCUCCGUCAUGUCCUGAUACACUUCACUAUUAUUGGCUCUGAACUUGUUAUGCUGCAACUCAUGUUCUUUACUAGUUAUGCUGCGAGCAGUAGAGUCUUUUUCACCACAACUCAUCCCUGAGCUUGUUCCUUCAGUGAUUCUAUCCACUGUUUGUAUAAUUUGACUCUGUUCAUCAGAUGCAUGAGGUUGCCUAUUUGAAGAUGAUUUGCAUUCUACUGACAAAUUACUCAGUCCACUAGAUUUCUCAUUUGAGCGUACUGUCCUGUCUGAUUGUUCAGUCUGGUCCCCAACAACUUUUGUGUCUUCAUUGGCGCUUCCCACCAUCUGCUCACCAUUUUUACUUUGGUUGGCACUGGCCUGCUUCUGUUCCUUGGCACAAUUAUCACAGCGCCAACAUAUCAGUCCUUCAUGAAACAGUAACAAGCAGUCUUCAAUCGAUCCUAUUGAAUCUGCGGUCAUCUCAUUCAUUUCCUCAACUUUGACAUCAGACACGUUAUGAGGAAGAAAACUAACAGAUUUUACUGGCACCUCAAUGAUCCUUUGCGGAAGUUCAAAACGUGAGACCUCGUUCUCCUGAGUCUGCAAAGGACUGUGUACAGCAUCCUUGCUUUGACAGAUACGUUGCGCUUCAGUGAAAUCUGCAGAACCAAGCAUAUAAUAUUUUAUUUUAUUUUAUCUGCAGUAUCGACACCAUGCAACCAGCAACUGUCAUCUACAUAUUUUUUAGGAUCUUUAUCCUCCACAUUUGUAGUAGCUUUCUUUUCAAGAAUCCCACACAUAAUUAAGUUAAGAAACCAUUUGGAGCAAAAUUUAUUAUAUCGAAGGCAAGCACCCGACAUCCCAAGCUAUAUUCCAAUGGCAGUUUUAGCUACUACACUACGGCAAACUACAUUGCCAUGUUAAUACUGCUGAAAAGAUCCUGCUCGCUUUUGUAUACACAUUCCGAAGGUUUUCCUGAAAUUUUUCUUCUGUCCAUGUGUGCAAAGGGCCCUCAAACAAUUUUCUCCAUUUAGAAAGUGUAGGACACCUAUUCCAAAAAACGAAACUUUUUUCUUUUGUUGAGCGAGAUAACCAAUAAAAAAUGCAGUUUCAUAGUGUCCACAGUUCCUGCAUUUUGAAUCCUCAAAAGUGGUAUGAACAGUCAAGGCUUUUCAGUAGGUACAGGAGUGCGCAUAAACUCACCAACUUCCAAAGGUUUAGGUGUUUCCUCCAAAAUCACCUCUUUCAAUUCUGAACCAAGAAGAUGAAAAUCACCACUUUCAGCAACUGUUUGCAUCUUGUCCAAGUUACUCUGCUCAUGUGCUGGAAAUAAUUGAACAGCAAUAUUCAUCUGUCGAGAUUUGAGACUCUCGCUUGUUUGUGGUGAUGCAACACUUUUGGUUGGAUGCCCCACUGAUGGCAUUGGCAGUUCCAGAUCAUAGAAGAAAGCAUGGGUAACUGAUUUAGUUCCACACUUGCAGGAUAGUAUCUGAGACAGCUCAAACCCAAAAAUGGAAUUGAUAAAUGUAGGAGCAGUGGUUUUCCUUUCAAAAUUUUUAAUUGCCAUCUCCUCUUCAUUCAAACCAUUACACAGGGAAGAAAGCAAUUCGUGGCUGUCAUGCAUAAGACCACCUAUGAAGUCCCGAUUCUGCAUGCAUACACAUGCCAAGAUUUUCUGUGGGUUCAGCAAGCCUCCUGCAGCACUUGUCGUCUCCUCAUAAAGCUCCUUGAGUGCCAACGCACAGAGACCCUUAUCAUCCGGUUCUAACAGCCUUGCCCGCAGUUUAUCAAGCGCAAGGAGGCACUGCAGAAUUGCAUUCAUGUAGCAUGUGUUUGCGAUAUUUGGUAUCCCUUUGAUAGCAUAGCCUUGCGUAUUAGCUGAUCCGAACUCAUGGUUGUGCCGUCUGUCUCUGAGAUUCGGUAACCCACUGAUAGGACCGGGGACCACACCAAACCCAGAUGCACGACCUUCUGCCUGAAUUUGGCCCGUCAUUUCCAUCACGCCUGGAACAUAGGAACCACAAGAAAGAAGAAUGUGUAAACCCAUUCAACCCGAAACCACCAAACAUGCGACAACCCUACAAAUGCGGAUGAUCCAAGAAAGCUAAAGAAUUUUGGGAAAUCGGAGAAACCCCCCCGCCCCCCAAGAAGACGAGAAAUCGAACACUCCUGCGAGGAUUAAGAUUCAAGAACCGCACCCCAAGACCUGUACGGACCAUUCAUGGUACCAAGAAGUUCAGAGGCUGCAUGUAAGAGGGAAAAAAUAGCAGAACACGAAAUCAGCAAACGUUAUGACGAGGAUCGAGAACGGCGCCGCGGAUUCAAGAAGCAGAAAAACCAUGGAGCCACAUAGAACAAACGACAGGACUAGAAAUGCCCGGGGAAAACAUACCACAACGCAGCCGGGGCACGCGCUUCGGUAACGAACUGACAACAUCGCGGAUCACAUCCAUUCCAAUCACACGACCAUCAACCUCAAAUUCGGCCGGCAUUCCCACCUCAGCAUUGCACUUGAAGCAGUAUCCUUUUUCUGCAUCAUCGUACAGAGCAGCAACCCAGUGUCGCUUCUUCAUGGCGUGCGCCCGAGAGUGUCCAAACGGGUACUCAAUCCCCCCAACCCCACAGCAGAGAUGCCGGCCGCACUCCAGGCACAUCAAGAUACUGCUCUCCUCGGGCCGUUGCUUACGGUAACGGCGACCCUUCGCGUCCUCGCGCCGACAACCCACGCACUUCCCUGCGUCAUUCUUGGAUAGCAACGACGAACUCAACCUCGUGCGAGCACUGAAAGUGAGGACGUGGUUGCACCGAUUGUUGCCGCUGGUCCCCUCCGCCCCCUCCUCCACCAGAUUGCUCGCCUCCGGCGCCGACGCCGCGGCAGCCAGAGCCGGCAGGUCCAGGCGCGGAACCUUCGCCUUCCGCGGGCUCCCUUCCAGCUCCCCCUUCGGCGGCGUCUUCUUCCCCAUCGCGCCUGGAGCAAAGGAGCCACGAGAAAGAAGAGCCGCGUGAGUCCAUCAAACCCAAAACCACCAAACAAUCAAGAACGCUGCGGAAUGCGCAUGACCCAGGAAAGCCAGAGAGGCGGGGAAACAGGAGGAAAAUCCAAGAAAACGGUGAGGAAUCGAGCGUUCCGCCGAGGACCAAGAACUGCUGCCAAGAACCGUACGGACGAGGGAUGAACCAAGAACGCAAAAGGGCGGAGAACCAGAGGGAAUAAGGAUCGAUCAAGAACAACCGAAACCGCAACCAUUCUGACUAGGAUCAAGAGCCGACGGGCCAGGGAUUGAACCAAGAAACCUGAAAGGCGGAGAACCAGAGGGUUGGGGCGAAAAUGAAAUCAAUCGAGAAGGCGCGCGAAACGAAAACCAUUCUGGCGGGGGGGAUCAAUUCAAGAACGGCGACCCCGGAUUCCGGGAUCCGAACCAGUAAAACACCAAUCCACCGAGCGAGGAAGAGAAUCGGAGGAACAGCGCCGGGGGAAAGGCUUACCGGAAGACGGCAGGGCCGCUCGGGUUCGUGCGGCGAGCCCGGGAGGGAAGGGGAAGGGGGUUUGGAGAGGGAGGGGCGGCAGAGAAGCAAAUGAUUUCGCGCUGGUUUCUUCCGUUGGUGCGGUUGGGGUUUUGUGGGGGAGAUAGAGACGGGUUGGUGGCUCCUGUUAUUGGGCUGCAGAGAUGGACGAGUUAGUUGGGCGGGGCCGUGCCACGUUGGGCCAUGCGCAAGCCUCCUUUGCCAAGCUUAGCCUGGCCCAGGUUCCAUUUGGAUUUACUCAAUCCUCCAUUUUUUUUUUGAAACUAUAGGGACCAUCAUUGACUGAUGCAGCCAUUUUAUGGCUCACACAACCUACAAAAGGCAGGGACUAUUCAUGUUGGAAAUUAGGCACAAAUAAACCCAACCACAUGCAGUAUAUGUUAAGAUUCAUGGGGGCAUUUCCGGAAGAUAUGGAUGUUUGAAGCUUGUAUCCAAAGAAAUUAAGAAAUUUUUAAAACGAGAAACAAAGCGCAUUUUCUUUUUCAUCAAAUAAAAAAAACCAAAUGUUUUGAAAUCUAGCCACAGUCAGGGUUGCAAUCUAGCCCUAGAAACAGCUCACAUUUGGCUCUCAUUCUGCAAUUAAUCCUAAGGUUCUUGGCAUGCCAAAUAUCGGUUGCAAAUUAACUGCUAACAAAGUGCUUAGAUACAAACAUCCCCAGCUCAAAUUUGGUGUUGACAGACGUAACGCAUGCGCAUGCCUAUAUAAGGCAACGUGGACCUCUAUUGUCUUCCCAUUUGCCUCCAUUAUUCCUCCAAGCCCCUGUCCCUCUCUCAAUGCGCAAUGCAUACGUAUCACAAAGGGUUCUUUCUCUAGAUUUCGGUGGGGAUUGAGUUGUUUCUUGUGAAAUUCCUGGGGAAUUCAGGCUGGUCCGAAGGUAAUGCAUCACACUUCUCGGUUUCUCCUGCUCUUGAUCCAUACGCAUGCAUAUUCUUACCUCACCAUUCUGCAUCUGCCUUGUCUUCCCAUGCUUGCAAUUUGGGGAUAUUUUGCAUGCAAUCAUAUAUUCAAUGGACCAUACAUUUGUCAAUUCGUCAUUUCGUCUAUCGGAUUCAAAUACUCAAACAAAGAUGUGGCCAAUUCGAGCCAUCUGUUUUUUGAAGAACAGAUGCCAUAAAUAGAUUUCAAUCUUCUAAAUAUAAGCACCGCAACGUGAGCGUGAUGAGCAAUGCAGGGCAAUCAGGGGAGGCGAGAGGAAGAGCAAGAAAAGCCGGCGGUCCAAACAAUCGACAAUUAAUGGAGGAGAAGAAGAAGGACCUGCUCCGGAAGCUGACGAUCAUCUCGAUCCCGUUCGUGUUCGUGGCGAUCCCUUCGGUGGUGAUCAUCGUGGGCAUGCUGUCCCCGCACGCGGCGGAGCCCCGGGACGACGGCUCGGCGCCGGCGCCGCCGGGGCGGAACCACUCGGUGUCGAUGCUGAGCACCAUGACGGGGGGCCAGAUGAUCCUCAGCUGCCGCGCCGCCUUCUCCGGCAACUGGGAGUACUUCCACUACUUCAUCCUCGACCCCUACAAGCCCCAGCAGGCCUUCUUCCAGCCGCAGGCCGAUCCCUACGUCAUCUUCUGCAAGUGGGGCUACAUGGGCAACUUCCUCCAGGACGUCGUCGUCUUCAACAGCACCGCCGCCUGGGCGCCGCAGUGCCGCGUCGACCGCGGCGGGUGCCGAUACCUCUUCCAGGACGGCCACAUGUUCCUCGUCACCGGGAAGCACUUGCGCCACGGCCCCGUGCCGGCGGCGAAGGUGUCGGAGUCGGAGGAGGAUCCGGGAGCGCCGGCGCCAGCGCCGGGUCCGGCCCCAUCAUUGGCUCCGGCGGCUUCGCUUCCGGCCGCCGCGCCGGCGCCAAGGCAGGGGCGGGAGAAGACGCUGGUGGGGGACGUGGUGCUCAGGGAGUGCCGGCACGUGCUCGGGGUGUUCCCCACCAUGUGCCGGACGAAGCCGCACCACCACGAGUACGUCGGCAAGAUCAUCGGCCGCUGGCGGUGGUGGUUCAACUACUAGCUCACCUGCUAAUGGCAGAUUGCCAUCGAUGAACAUGAAUGGCACCCGUUGCAGGAAAAACGAGACGAUGAACUGUAUGUAACUAACAAGGACACGAUGUGUAGAUACAGAUUUACUGAAUUGGAAUCCGUAACUACUAGUAACUACUAGUAAUUUGCGUUGAUUGUAUCCCUACUUCUCAUAUCUCAUAUCCGUGUACACUGGUACAGCAAAAAAUCCUAUGCCACAGGCCAAGGAUCACUGGAUCAGAUGAGAAAUGAUGGCCAAGGACCAAGGUGAGGGGCACAGAGGUUAGGGAGUGGCUGAGCAACAAACAAAUAGGCGCGAGCAGGAGGAACUUGAAGGAUGACAGGCAGGGCAGGAGGAACUAUUACAAUGGCGGGUAGAAAUAUGACGAAAGCGAGAACCCAAGGAAGAGGAGGCCUCCGAUGGUCGCUACCGUGCCCUGAGAUAUCUUGGACGCCAGCAUGCUGCCACCCACCACCGCGAUCGAUGUGCAGAUGGUGUGCCCCAAGGUUGCUCCCGUAGCGACACCAAUCGCGUUCUUGUGCGUCGCCAGCUGCAUUGAAGUCAAUGCUCAAAGUUCAGUUACGAUUUUGUUUGUGGGUUAAAUUAUGAAUUUGGGUGGACAUGGAAGAGCUUGGAGUUUGAUUAGAAGAUGUAACUGAGCCAUACCGCGAUCGUAGCUAUCUGACUCCGGUCACCCCACUCCGCUAGGAAGGUCAACACAAAUGACUGAAACCAAAACAAGGAAUACAUAAAAUCAGUUAAAAACAUUAGACAGGUGCAGCAUCAGCGAUGAUAUGUUUUAAGCAUUGCACAUCAACUACUAGAGUUAACACAAACAAGCACUGUUGAAAAGGAUUGUAGAUCCUCUCGAAGAAAGUAAAAUGAUUGCAGAAUCAGAUGCCAGUAAACAAAAGUUUCUGAGAAAUGAAAUAGCGUAAAAUGAGAAGGGAGGGAAAUCUACCUCCAAGAAAAUAGGAGUGCAGAAUCUUGAGAAAACACGUCUAAAUGUUGACUUCCCUUGACCUGCUUCCAGCUUUUCCUCUACCUGUAUGUGUCAAAAAAUAAAUAACAUAUAAGCUGAACAGAGACUGAUCAUGACAACUAACAGGUCUCUAUAACUAAUGCGCACAGUAGGGAUACACAAAAUAGCACAACUAUACAGCACAAAAUGUCAUCUUGCCAAGUAAGGAAUAGUUAGUUGCGUAACUCUUUAUAUCAGAAAUUAACUUUCAACUUUCAAGCACGGUACGAUCCUGAAUAGUAACUUUUAGGAAACUCUGAGUAAUUAUGGACUUAAGUCCUUUACACUAUAUGUCUAUAUCUAGCACAGAUGGGUGCUGCCUGUUAUGUAAAUAAAAAGAGGGUGGAGGGCUGAUAAGAAAUUAUACAUACUUCUUCUAUUUCCUUUUUCUGUGAUGCCUUGGAAUCUGACCUCCAGGCAAUGUACAGCAGACGAAGCCCAAAGAACGCGUAAAGGACUGAAACACAAAAAUACCAAAAGAGGAGAUACGACAUCACUGAAUGAACUGGUGCACGCUACAGAAGAACAGAACUAAACUGAUAUUCCGGUUACAUAUCAUAGCUAAAAAGAUCAUGAGAUUAAAAGUAUUUGUGUCCAAAAGAGUAUCUACAUACACCCAAGAGAGGACCUUUGAAGCUCAAUAAGUUCUUUGUACCAUUCUUUGUUUCCAGUGAUUAAAUUUAGAAUUUGCUCUUAUAAUGAAUAUCCAUGAUUAAGGAGUGGCCUAACAAAUGUACUCAUUCACUAACUUCAUUGAAAGAAGAACCUAUACGUUGGUCUGUUAUGUACAGUUCCAAUUACGAGGCACUUGGAUGCAACAAAAAUUAGCAGCAUACUGUGGAGAAGCAUAAAUAUUCAAUCAUAUAACACCGUGACAAUUUGUACUAGUUCUAUUUCCUUACAUUUAUGCACCCCAGUAAAUUUCAAGUAUACAUAUCUAAAACCUGAAUUUUAAUUUGAGUACAUGCAUGUAUGUAACAUCUAGUGUACCACUUCAGGUGGACUGAAACAAAUAGUAAUCAACAGUUUUUACUACUCAUUUCUUCCGAUGGUUGGAUCAUUAUUCCCCAACCUCUACGACCUCUACCAGUCAGUUUUGACAUACCAGUUGCUGCGCUGUUAGUGUGCUUCCUUGAUAUCAAGUUUGGAACAAUUCUGCCUAGCCCAGUUGACAACACCUGAAAGAAGGCAACACCAAGCCCAAUGAAGGAUCAGUUAGACCAAACCUGAAUCCAUUUUAGUCCACCACAACACCUGAAAUAAGGCAAACAGCCAAAGCUUCAGUUUCACCUACUGUCAUAACGAACAGCGCCGACAGCGCGCCAGAGAGCACCGUCGACUUGGGGUGCCGCAUCGCCAUCAGCGCCGCGAUGAUGAACGUCUCGUCGCCAAUCUUCAGGCCAGAAGACACAGAAAAUUCAGAAACAUGUUCCGAGGGACGUAUACACGCAGGAGCAGAAGCAAGCCCAGGGAUGGACGCCGGCGCCGCGGCAAUCUCACCUCGCUGACGACGAUCAUGGACAGGCUGGCGAAGAAAGCAUCGAAGAGCCCCAGCCCCGGCUCCUGCGCCCCCGCCGCGGCCCCGCGCGCCCGCGCCGUGUGGAGGAACAUCUGAGAAGGAUAACACACGGGAGGGAGGCGUUCAGAGAUACGUACUAGACAAACCCAGCCUUCAGAGCAAAUGCUCUGGCUUGUCCAGACUUCAGACACACAGCAUGCACAUGCUCACCUUUGUGCGGCGGUCCAGGCGGGCGGCGCCAGCGCCGGUGCCAUUCGCGGCAGCGCCAUCAGCAACCUGACGACAGGAACGCAGAACCCGGAACGCAAGACUGUAAGAGCCCUGCGCGGAGACGAAACGGGGGAAGGACGGGGAGCUGGUGGGAAAUGCUGACCUGGUCCGCGCCAGCGGCGGCGGAGGCGGAAAUGGAAACGGAGAGGGCGAGGGCGACGAGGAGGGCCGCGGCGGGCGCGCGCCCGUGCAUCGCGACGGAGCGGGAGACGAGGUGAGAUCCGUGCGGCAGGUCGGGCGGGGGGGCUGUCGGCGCGGCGAGGCGGGGACGGGAUCUCGGAGGAGUGGCGCGGAGUAGGGGCAGCCAGCCGGGCGACCCGCGUGCGGCGUCGGGAUGGCCGAGGAGUUAAAAGGAGCGGAGGCGACGGGCCCACCCUGAACACUGCCCGUUCCGCGUUCCCUUCCCGUGCCAUUCGCGUCGGGCUCCACCUUGCCGCCGACGCGCCGUGCCGUUUAGGAAACGAAAUUCAGCCAAAAUUCAGAUAAAAUCAGCCUCGAACAUCUUGACGAAUUUUUGAAAGACCAUUUCCGUUCAAACUUUUCGUCAGAAAGUGUUGCUUGAGGCGAACAGGAUUCGGAAACUUUUCGUCAGAAAUGCAGAAUCCACACCGAGUAUCCUUGUAGUACGUAUCUUCUUUCAGAGUGUCUCGAGCACUCAAAUUGAGUUGGCGUACGCCAACUUCCGCCGAACCUGCUCACCAGAGGAUUCUUUUAUUCACCCUUUGACGCUCCCGUUAGGUUGGAUCUCACGUAACGACGUUGACGCGUGCACACACGUGAAUGUGCGACGAAUCUGGUGAUGCUCACUCCGAAGCUGCCGCAGCAUCAACGAAAAAAAAUUGCUUUGACCAGGGUUACGGACCUAGGGUUCUUUGCUUCAUGCAGUGUGAAAACUGAAUCCCCCAAUCCCUGGUACCUCUGAUACGCAAUGACUUUGGAAUGAACGUUUAACUACCAAAUUAUAAUUCUUCAGCUCUCCUUUUUGGAAAAUAAAAUGAGUCAUUCCCUCUCUCUUAUGUACUGUCAGUUAGACAGUUACUACAUAGUGUAUUUGAUGUCUGUCCAAAAACCGAAUCCCACUGUCUUUGUUUCUAUCUUUCGCCCACCGACAGCCAGAGUGUCAUUCCUUGGCAUCGGAUAUGAGUGAGUACUCGCUCGUGCUAACAAAAGCAUAACCAAGUUCUUGGAUAAUCCAGCCAACUUUUGGAGCUGACCAAACCUUCUAGGACGAUGCCAGUUCUUAGAUAAUCCAACCAAAGAGGUUACCAUGAAAAAAAACUGCAGCAAUAAUUUUUCGCAUUUCCUGGAUCCUGCCAAGUCAGUAAUCUGAACUUAUAUCACAAUGGCACAUAAUUUUUGAAGUUAUAUACUUAUAUAGUAGGGACCUUCUCAUCACCCAGCAAUAAUCUGUCAAUUAUUAAAAGCACUGCAAAGUAACUGAUUUAAGUGCCAUGGGUGGUGCACCUUAUCACUAAUAAGAUCAAUUUCACUUAGAACUCAUGGGACCUCACACAACAUAAACAGAGUGAACAAUAACUGCUGCCUGCUGGCAACAACCUCAGUAUGGCUGCAUAGCAAUAUUGACAUGAAAAUUUCCUCUUGAAGUAAAGAAGAUGACUACCUAAAUAUAUUCACCGUCACUGAGAGAAUACUCUAAGUAGUCAUAAAAAUGUUCCUGACAGUACAAAAAACGCGCGGGGGGUGGGGGGGGGGGGGGGGUCACACAGCCUUUCAAAGAAGAAUGUACUUUGCAACACAACUCAAAAGAAAAGACCAAGCUACAACUAAGAACAUUAUAUGAUCUGUACUCUCUAAGGCCAGGGGUCACCUAGAUCAGGCUUCUUGACAAAGAUCUGAUUGUAUUCAGGUCGCGACAUCUGCAGCAAAAUUCAUUCAAUAAUCGGUGUAAGACAAAAGUUCCAAAAUACCUGAUAAAACAAUCUGCAUUCAUCUAUAGUGAGGUAACUAACUCACACAAGGACAUGAUUUGCCACUGAGACAUGUCAAUGUAACAGGUAGGCAUCCAGAUCAAACAGUCUGGAUGACCAAACCAAGGAAAUGCAUAUGACGUUUAUAUCUAUUCCAAAUGGUGUUUUUUAUUCUAACAUCAUAAUUCAUAUGCCAGAAAGGCCUACCAUGGACCCCCCCACCAAAAAAAAAUGCCUGUUUUUUGAGAAAUGCAUAAUACCCGCCAUUCAAUCAACAACGAAAGGUUCCAAGUUGUGCGAAGGAAAGUAUUUGUAUUCAGUAAGCUACUAUAACAUCUAUGAUUUCACCUGAUUUCUUAAUAAUCAUUUCAAGGAAAUAGCUAGGUCUCCAAUCAAAUAUAUUCGGAUGGCUAAAUCUCAACAAUGCAUGUGAACUCAAAACUAGUGGUUUCUGCCAAACACUUAAACAGUGUAAUUCCCAUAGUCAUCAGCACGGGGGAAUUUCUCAAGAUCUUUUUUUAAAGAAAUUUCUCAAGAUCUAAUAUGGAUAAAAAUACCACAAUUCUACCAGUUAUUAUCUACACUAGGGAUAGGGAAAAUUCUAAGCUAUAUGGAUGAAGAGUAUCUGCAUUCACUAACCUUCUGUGAUUUCAGCUGAGAACUUAACAACCAUUUAACACAUUCGUAUUCGAAUGGAACUACUGUAUACUAUUCAAAAAUCAUGGCCACGCAGUGCCAAAUUGACCAAACGCGCCAUGCGAAUUGAGGCAUUGAACUACCCUACUCGAUCUCAUUCUGUGUUCGGGGGAGAGAUACUGCCAUACUGGGUUGCUGUGGGUGCUUACGAGGUCCUUGAAGAGGAGGAAGGCGACGAGGAAGAAGAGGACGAAGAGGAUCUCGAACUCGGCGAGGCGGACGAAGCGGAACACCUUGUCCACGGCCCUCGUCAGGAGCCCCGGGUCGUCCCCCCUCCUCCCGCCCCGCUGCUGCCGCAUCGCUCCCGAUCGCUCGUGGAUUCCUCUACUCUUGCUUCCGCCGGAUCCAAGAGGUCAGCGUCACGAAGGCCAGGCACGCCCCUCGCAGUAGAGGUGAGAGAGGGGGGAGCGCAGGUACCGGAUCUCCGGCCGUCCGGCGGCGUGGGGUGCGGCGGAGGGGAGGGCGGGAGGCCCCGAUCGGGCGGUGAAGUCGCGCUGCGGUGGAGAGGGUGGAGGGGAAGGGACGACGAGAGGAACGGAAUCGGGGUUCGGCCGGCGUCUCAGGAGCCUCGCCUAGAGGUAAAUGCGUAGCCCACGUCCGUCGGAUGUCGAUCAAAC
This 33699-nucleotide long non-coding RNA is filed under the name Setaria italica (foxtail millet). Its description in RNAcentral is "long non-coding RNA (SITA_LNC004823)". Lineage: Eukaryota; Viridiplantae; Streptophyta; Magnoliopsida; Poales; Poaceae. The record is from RNAcentral.